CCUUCAUGGGGCAGCCCGUCGGCGUUUCGAGCGCUGGAUGAUGGAGUCGGUUCGAGUCCGCCAGGAAGUC
RNAcentral lists this transfer RNA (70 nucleotides) under Marinobacter salarius. Its description in RNAcentral is "tRNA-Arg". The record is from RNAcentral. Lineage: Bacteria; Pseudomonadati; Pseudomonadota; Gammaproteobacteria; Pseudomonadales; Marinobacteraceae.